UCGCGCUAGGCGGGGAGGUAGCGGUGCCCUGUACCCGCAAUCCGCUAUAGCGGGGUCGAAUCCCCCACCGAGGGGGCGCGCCCGUCGGGUCUGCUCCGGUCGAGCUGGCGUUGACGGCUGGGUCCUGCGCAGCUCGGGCCCGUGAACCCCGUCAGGUCCGGAAGGAAGCAGCGGUAAGCGGUCUCCCGAGGGUGCCGUGGGGAAACCUGGCCCGAGCCGGGCGGCCGGGUGAGCGCCGGCGGCCGUCAACGACGUGGGGUGCGCGA
This 266-nucleotide signal recognition particle RNA is filed under the name Chloroflexota bacterium. RNAcentral's name for it is "Chloroflexi bacterium signal recognition particle sRNA large type". It matches the Rfam family "Bacterial large signal recognition particle RNA". From Rfam's summary of the family: The signal recognition particle (SRP) is a universally conserved ribonucleoprotein involved in the co-translational targeting of proteins to membranes. Lineage: Bacteria; Bacillati; Chloroflexota. The record is from RNAcentral.